AGUAACCUGCCUUGGAGUGGGGAAUAACACAUCGAAAGAUGUGCUAAUACCGCAUAAUGCAGUUGGGCCGCAUGGCUCUGACUGCCAAAGAUUUAUCGCUCUGAGAUGGACUCGCGUCUGAUUAGCUGGUUGGCGGGGUAACGGCCCACCAAGGCGACGAUCAGUAGCCGGACUGAGAGGUUGGCCGGCCACAUUGGGACUGAGACACGGCCCAGACUCCUACGGAAGGCAGCAG
This 235-nucleotide ribosomal RNA is filed under the name uncultured bacterium. RNAcentral's name for it is "partial 16S ribosomal RNA". It matches the Rfam family "Bacterial small subunit ribosomal RNA", at positions 120 to 354 of the family's 1533-position model. The record is from RNAcentral.